CAUGGACCUAACCCUCUCAUUUUCAUCGUGCGCUCCCCGUCCCUCAGUCAUCAAGCGCACACUCAAACCGCAGACAUGAAGAGACGCAGGCACUCAAGUGAGGAUGUGCAGCAGUGUUGGCACUGUGUUGCUAUCGCUUUUCCAGUUGCCGUCACCGUUCCAAUUGCUGAAGGGAGAACUUCUCUUUCACCAGCUCAUGCUCAAUCUUCUGCCCCUUACAUAUACUGCUUACUCGAAUGAGGAACUUGCAUUCUUAACUCAAGUUUUCUGUUUCUGUGGACCGUGGGUGAAUUGAGUAAACCAGGGACUCUGAACCAUACAUUCUCACUCGUUUAGUUGCCACUUUGGCAAUUGUGUUCCUUAAUUCUUUAUUGAGCAACAUGGAGAAUUUGAGAAUGUUGCAAAGUUUGAAAAUGAAAAUGGAGGCCAAGAUGUAAAUGUUGAUGAUGGAAACUUCAUUGAAGCUCAAGCUUCUCUCUCUCAAGAUUAGGUGGCUCAAGCAUGGUUGAAGGCAAUUGGUUGGAUGACGAAGACCAAUAAAGUUUAUGGACUUGAAUUACAUGCUGCUAUGAUAUGUGUAAAUCAUGACAAGACUACUUGUAAGAUUAAUAUUGUUCAUCGUACUCCUCCACAUCCUACACCAAAUGUAGGAGAUGUUGUUAACAUAUUGAACCAUUAUGUUGUGACUUUUUAUAUAUGAUUAAUAGAUUGAACCAUUUAUGUUA
Molecule: long non-coding RNA, 725 nt
Organism: Prosopis cineraria
Lineage: Eukaryota; Viridiplantae; Streptophyta; Magnoliopsida; Fabales; Fabaceae
Exons: 4
Source: RefSeq, a predicted model, not a curated record